Erinaceus europaeus (western European hedgehog) is the source of this 107-nucleotide small nuclear RNA. The record is from Ensembl. Lineage: Eukaryota; Metazoa; Chordata; Mammalia; Eulipotyphla; Erinaceidae.
UCACUUUGGCAGCACAUACACUAAAAUUGGAACAAUACAGUGAAGAUUACUCUGGCCCCUGCACAAGAAUGGCAUGUAAAUUUGCAAAGUGUUCUUUAAAAAAUUUU